RNAcentral lists this ribosomal RNA (375 nucleotides) under Klebsiella pneumoniae. RNAcentral's name for it is "bacterial SSU rRNA". It matches the Rfam family "Bacterial small subunit ribosomal RNA", at positions 802 to 1177 of the family's 1533-position model. The record is from RNAcentral. Lineage: Bacteria; Pseudomonadati; Pseudomonadota; Gammaproteobacteria; Enterobacterales; Enterobacteriaceae.
GUAAACGAUGUCGAUUUGGAGGUUGUGCCCUUGAGGCGUGGCUUCCGGAGCUAACGCGUUAAAUCGACCGCCUGGGGAGUACGGCCGCAAGGUUAAAACUCAAAUGAAUUGACGGGGGCCCGCACAAGCGGUGGAGCAUGUGGUUUAAUUCGAUGCAACGCGAAGAACCUUACCUGGUCUUGACAUCCACAGAACUUUCCAGAGAUGGAUUGGUGCCUUCGGGAACUGUGAGACAGGUGCUGCAUGGCUGUCGUCAGCUCGUGUUGUGAAAUGUUGGGUUAAGUCCCGCAACGAGCGCAACCCUUAUCCUUUGUUGCCAGCGGUUCGGCCGGGAACUCAAAGGAGACUGCCAGUGAUAAACUGGAGGAAGGUGGG